Long non-coding RNA from Anastrepha ludens (Mexican fruit fly), 4777 nucleotides. RefSeq lists it as uncharacterized. The record is from RefSeq and is a predicted model, not a curated record. The transcript has 3 exons. Lineage: Eukaryota; Metazoa; Arthropoda; Insecta; Diptera; Tephritidae.
UUCAAUAUAUAAUUAUCAAAAGUAACAUUUGUUGUUAAUGGUUAUAGGCGGCGAAUUGCAAGAGCGCUUGAUUCCGGUACCCUACAGCAAGAGCAACACUGAUCAAGCUAUUCGUGUGGUCAAUGCUUUUCGCCAAGGACUCGACGGCCGCUAUGGAGAGCACACCAACACCUCUUUGGCUGAAGUUUUACGCAAGCAAACAUCGCUGAGCAAGCGCCUCUCUGAGACUUCGUCUAUAGAAUAUGCUGAUAAUAUCCCAGAUGAGUUAACGAUCCCCGAAAUCGACGUGGAGCGGCUCUCUUCUCAUAGUCAUACCGAGACGGCCGUUUAAGGAAAAUAAAAAUAAAAGCAUACUCACACAUCGUGAAAGUAUUAGCUAGAUCUGUGACUACAGCAAGCAGCCAACAAAUAACAAAUUAACAGCAGUAAAAACAAACACAGUUUUGGCAUUCAAGCUAAUGAAUAUUUUUAACACGAGUAAAUACAAAAUUGUGGUGGUGGGAAGAUCUUUCUGAUCUUUGUAUAAUAAACUUCAAAAAAAUGAAAUAAAGCAAAAUAAUGAUGAUAAGUAGCAGUGAAUGAAAUAAAAUGACACUGAAUUAUUGCGUUAUCUUAUGCUAAGCCGAAAAUAAAUUAGUAAAAUUUUUUUUUUACAUUGACACUAAUCGAAAUAGCUAUAUGGGACAAACUUAGUUUUUAUUUUAACAUAUAUGCAUAUUAUUUUCUUGAGUGGCUUUAUAACAAUCUCAAAUCUAUUUACGAAUUAGUGGUGGUUUUCAAUUAUUUAGUUAUUUGUUUCAAACCCCGUUACGUUGGAAACUUUCCUGAAAGUUGAGUUUCUAGAGGGAAAUAGCCAAGGAUGAUAAAAAGCAUAGUUCGGCCUUCCGAAGUCGCUGUGUCAACAGAGCCCAUGAAUAAGCGAGCAGAAGUUGUUUGUGAAGAGGAAGAGUAGCGGAAAGUAAUAGAAACUACCAAAAACAAGCAGUUAUGUAUAUGCACAGACACACACUUUUUCUUCUUACGCCGUCUUCCGUAUAAAAACGCAAAAAAACUGUAUUUGGAGGCAUAAUAUUAAUUUGUGUUUUCACAAUUUAACACGCGGCACUUCUCCUCCUAUUGUUUGUUUUGUAUUGUCAAGGGAUCUAAAUAGUUGCCAAAAUCGCCAAAUAUAAAGUAUCUGCUUUAGGAAGGCGCAACCAUAAGUACUCAAUUCGCCUUGUGAAAUAGCUAAGCGUGUUCGUGAACACUUUAUUUCUUGUUAUGGUAAUUUGAUGGUAUUUUUAUAUAUGUACAUUUCACAAUUUUAAAAACAUCUUCUGGUAAGUUGAGUAGUUUUUGUUAGGAAAUAAAUAAUUUUGAUGUAGAGAAAAUAACUUUUUAGUACUCGUUUUUCGUUUAGUCCCUCGUACAUACCACUACGACUAGCAUCAGCCGCAAUACAUAACAUCCGUACAUAUAAUAUAUUGUUUCAUAAGAUUUAGUUUUGUCCCAUAUACAAACCUAUCUAUUUGUGUUUAUGCUCUUGAAGAAGUUAGGUUUUUUACAAUAAGAGGCUGCAGUAAAUCCUUUAAAAUAUUAUAUUCUGAAAUUUGUUUUCUUCCAUUACAUUGAGCGAUACAAAUAAUCUAAUUACUCUAAUUACUUUAUGAUAAAAACAAUUAUUUGAUCAAUGUCCCAUAUUGCUACAUAUUUUGCUUAGUGUAUUAGCUUAUCGAGUGCUAAAUUGAAACCAAAUCCAUAAAAAUGUAUUUUAAAUUUGGCAGUUCUUUCAUAUUUAUUGGAGUAUCUUGUGCUAAAUUUAAAUCAAAUCACUAAAAUUUUAUGAUAAAUUUUGCAUUUGUUUUAUAUGUAAGGUGUACAUGUGUAUAUGUAAGGUAUCAGAUUUACAUGUAAGUAAGAAGCUUUGAUGAUUGAACCAAAUUAAUAAUUCGCAGUAAAUAUACAAACUUCCCAGUGAAGAAAUUUUCAGAUAUGCGGGCUACACACAGGCAACAAAUCAUAAAAUCGGUUGAAAAAAGACGUAUGUUUGACGGUAUUUACAACAGAUUGAAAGUAGACAAACAUUUUUGUUUUUCUUGCAAUCGAUUGUGUGCUUAUCGAAUUUGACGCCUUUUGUCAUUUCUUUUGAGAUCGUGAAAUGAAAAUUCUCAGCCAAUCCAGAGUUGAAACGAAUUUCAAUCCAUUCUGUUUGUGGCUCGCAUUACCGAAUCACGUACAUACAUAUGCAUAUACUAAAUAUUUAAAAAUUUCUUUAGUGGUUAUUAUUAAGAGUACUGAGUACAUAUUAAGAUAUAUAUCUGCAUAAAAAUAUGACCAGCUGUCAAUAAACUUUAAUUCAGAGGUAAAUACUCCUAUACGAUAGAUAAUAUUUAAGAUAUUUGUUGAGAAUUCAAUACAAAAGUAUUUAAUUUCUUUUCAUAUACCACUUAACAAAACAUGCAUAAACUUAUGUAUAUUACUCAAAAUGUAAAGUGAGCUCAGAAAAAUUAUUAUGAGAGCUUUUUUAUAUGCAAGCGCUGCAUUCUUUUGCGUCCGAUCUGCAAGAAAAAUACCCGAUAUCGGUUAUAUUUUACAUUUAAUUACAGUUGCUCCAUUUUGUUUUAUUUUAUGAGUCUAUCCAGUAGAUUAUCCCAAAGUAGUAGUACAUUGUGGUGUAUAUGUUGUUAUGUUCUUUUAAGUUUCUGCACUUCGUAAUGCACAAAUAAGUGAUAGUCUUAGACGUUUUUAUUCAAGGCGAAUCCAUACAACGUAAUAGCACUAGCACAAAACAAAAUGUGUAUGUUUUCUUUUAUGAUUUCUUGAAAUUGGUGGUUUGAGUGCCGAAAUUUAAAUCAGAAUGUAUACAAACAAGCAAAACAAUUACAAAAAAGUAGAUAACUUUGUCAUCCACUCUACUCAUCCAGUCUACCUUUCUACUUAAAGACAUAGAAACAGCACUCAUACCGUCUAAAAAUUCCGAAACAAUUCAUUUUCGCCCCAAUACUGCUGAUUAUUUACAGAAUGGAGCAUCUCAUGUUUAUGACUUUUCCCUGUUCCGGCAAAUGCUACAGAAGUCGUAGUGGGCGACUCUUAGUCCUUUCCCAAAUAUCCCGAAAAUAAUGUUGGAUAUUAGUAACUUCAUGGUUCUAGUUAAAUAUUUCCUGGACAUCUCAUGAGAUGUUUUGAGGUAUUUUACGAUUAAGACAUUUGAAUCUUAACUUUUAAUGUAUCCACAUUUAUGUUCAAUAAAUAUACAAUACAGCUACAAUCAGUAUAAAUAAUAUUACCAAACUGCUCACUUGGGACUUCAAAAGCCCAACAGCGUUUAAAAAAUAUAUAUACUCCUCUUACAUGUAUAUGUAACUUGAAAUUUGAAUAGGUCGAGGCAAGAAGCUCCCAGAAAUUUGGUGACUCCUAAUAGAAAGAAAGAGGGUGGAUAGUCAAGGAGAAAAGGAGACAAGUAUCAGAGAAAGAGAUAGGAAAGAAUAGAGACGGAGAUAACGGUAGUUAGUCCUGUGAGAAUUUUCCAGAUUAUUUGGCAAAUCUGUAAAUAACCUCCAGUUUUAGAGAACGAAUAUUACUCAUUCUCAUGACAUCGGAACAUAAAAUUCGUAGCCUUACUGUAGCAAAGUCAGGACACUCACAGAGAAAGUGCUCAGUGCUAACCGCCUCCUCCAAGCAUGAUAGGCACACUGGGUCCUCAAUGAUUCCAAUGGUGAUCAUAUGCUGACCCCAUGGGUUGUGUCCUGUAAUGAUACCGACCAUCAACCGAACGUCUUUCCUUCUAAGUUUUAGUAGACAGUUUGACAGCUUUCUGUUCGGACUUGUCACAAAACACUCUGCAGUUCUGCAGCGUUCUAGACCGGACCUUCGCGCUUUAUGUAGAUUACCUACAUAAUCGCUGAUCCAAUUCAUGAUUCCUGCGGAACUGAUUCCGAUUAUUGGCUCUGGUCCCUGUGGGAGAACCGCUGAUCCACGGUUGGCCAAUUCAUCGGCAAUUUCGUUUCCUUGAGAGUCUUAGAAUCCAUAUAAGUACAAGCCUGUUCUGUUUUGCGACAGUAUAAACUUCUUAUAUUCUUGAACAAUCUUCGAGGUUUGCUUCGCAUUCUCCAGGGCCUUCAGUGCAGCCUGACUGUCAUUGGAAACUCCAAUCUGUUUCCCGCUCCAUCUCCUCUCGAUUACCCAUUCGACUACUUUCAGGACGGCAAAAUUUCCGUUUGGAAAACAGUUGCCAUUUCCCCCAUAGCAUUGUGAUACCUAUUACUAUCCUUUAAGUACCCUCCGGCCGAACACCUUAUUUCCUUCUUGGGCCCAUCGGUAAAGAAAAUAUCCGUCGAACCUCCCUGUAUACAUUCUGGAUUGCUAUGUAAGUUAAAUAACAAGAGCUUGAAUAUCAUUUUAAAUCGUCAGAUCCGCGAGGUGCCGUUCAAAUAUAUGCAACAUUGGGAACUAAAUACAAAACGCUUUCGGGUAUACUCAAACAAGAAAUGUUUGCGGAGCUUAUUGUAUUUUAGUUUAAGGCAAAAACUUAAAACAAAAAUGUUUGCUAAUACAUUUUUAUAAAAUGUACAACAACAAAUGGAUGCACUACCUACAUAUACACAUGUGUAUCUCUAUUUCAUAUAUAAAAUUUAAAUCGUUAAGGUGGUUAUUCAAUAAAUAAAAAUGAACAUAAAAAGAAAAUAAAAAUAAGAAGCGUUUUAGAACGUUACCAGACUUGAAACAAGAACAACAAAUUUCUAGGCAACACCAAUGGAUAACGAGUCUAUAAAUAAAAUAUAAUUGUUACUGAAAAGAA